This 483-nucleotide ribosomal RNA is filed under the name uncultured bacterium. RNAcentral describes it as "partial 16S ribosomal RNA". It matches the Rfam family "Bacterial small subunit ribosomal RNA", at positions 28 to 523 of the family's 1533-position model. The record is from RNAcentral.
GACGAACGCUGGCGGCGUGCUUAACACAUGCAAGUCGAACGAUGAAGCUGGAGCUUGCUCCGGUGGAUUAGUGGCGAACGGGUGAGUAACACGUGAGAAAUCUGCCCUUCACUCUGGGAUAACUGCGGGAAACUGUAGCUAAUACCGGAUACUUUCCCUGGUGGGCAUCACUAGGGAAGAAAGAAUUUCGGUGAAGGAUGAUCUCGCGGCCUAUCAGCUAGUUGGUGAGGUAAUGGCUCACCAAGGCGACGACGGGUAGCCGGCCUGAGAGGGUGACCGGCCACACUGGGACUGAGACACGGCCCAGACUCCUACGGGAGGCAGCAGUGGGGAAUAUUGCACAAUGGGCGAAAGCCUGAUGCAGCAACGCCGCGUGAGGGAUGAAGGCCUUCGGGUUGUAAACCUCUUUUAGCAGGGAAGAAGCGAAAGUGACGGUACCUGCAGAAAAAGCACCGGCUAACUACGUGCCAGCCGCCGCCGUAA